Molecule: long non-coding RNA, 204 nt
Filed under: Gossypium barbadense (sea-island cotton)
Lineage: Eukaryota; Viridiplantae; Streptophyta; Magnoliopsida; Malvales; Malvaceae
Description: long non-coding RNA (GBAR_LNC015314)
Source: RNAcentral
UAAGUUUCGCACCAAUAAUAACAAUACUAAAUUAUAACUAAGUAAACAACAAAUAAAGUAAAUCGCAUCAAAGUAAAGCAUACACCAUAACAUAAUAUCAUAACAUAAUAUCAUAGUUCCAAAUCAAUUCCAAUAUCACAACAAAAUUAGUAUCAACAUCAUCAAAUGAGUACCAUCAUCUCAAUUAUACAAACUAGAUCAAAU